Molecule: ribosomal RNA, 575 nt
Filed under: uncultured Bacilli bacterium
Lineage: Bacteria; Bacillati; Bacillota; Bacilli
Description: bacterial SSU rRNA
Rfam family: Bacterial small subunit ribosomal RNA
Source: RNAcentral
ACUAUUGGAAACGAUAGCUAAUACCGCAUAACAAUGGAUGACCCAUGUCAUUUAUUUGAAAGGGGCAAAUGCUCCACUACAAGAUGGACCUGCGUUGUAUUAGCUAGUAGGUGAGGUAACGGCUCACCUAGGCGACGAUACAUAGCCGACCUGAGAGGGUGAUCGGCCACACUGGGACUGAGACACGGCCCAGACUCCUACGGGAGGCAGCAGUAGGGAAUCUUCGGCAAUGGGGGCAACCCUGACCGAGCAACGCCGCGUGAGUGAAGAAGGUUUUCGGAUCGUAAAGCUCUGUUGUAAGUCAAGAACGAGUGUGAGAGUGGAAAGUUCACACUGUGACGGUAGCUUACCAGAAAGGGACGGCUAACUACGUGCCAGCAGCCGCGGUAAUACGUAGGUCCCGAGCGUUGUCCGGAUUUAUUGGGCGUAAAGCGAGCGCAGGCGGUUUGAUAAGUCUGAAGUUAAAGGCUGUGGCUCAACCAUAGUUCGCUUUGGAAACUGUCAAACUUGAGUGCAGAAGGGGAGAGUGGAAUUCCAUGUGUAGCGGUGAAAUGCGUAGAUAUAUGGAGGAACAC